AGAGAGGGCUUUGGCUAUCCCUUUUGGGAAGGGCCCCGCGCGGUUUAUUACCUUAUGUGUGGAAGUAAAAGGCUCCCCCAAGGCCAUGGAAACCGUACCCGCCCCUGAGAGGGUAAUUCGCCCCCAUUGGGAUUGAGACCCGGCCCCAGAUUCCUACGGGAGGCAGCAGUAGGGAAUUUUUCCACAAUGGACGCAAGUCUGAUGGAGCAACGCCGCGUGAAUGAAGAAGGGUUUCGGCUCGUAAAGCUCUGUUGUUAAAGAAGAACGUGGGUAAGAGUAACUGUUUACCCAGUGACGGUAUUUAACCAGAAAGCCACGGCUAACUACGUGCCAGCAGCCGCGGUAAUACGUAGGUGGCAAGCGUUAUCCGGAUUUAUUGGGCGUAAAGCGAGCGCAGGCGGUCUUUUAAGUCUAAUGUGAAAGCCUUCGGCUCAACCGAAGAAGUGCAUUGGAAACUGGGAGACUUGAGUGCAGAAGAGGACAGUGGAACUCCAUGUGUAGCGGUGAAAUGCGUAGAUAUAUGGAAGAACACCAGUGGCGAAGGCGGCUGUCUGGUCUGCAACUGACGCUGAGGCUCGAAAGCAUGGGUAGCGAACAGGAUUAGAUACCCUGGUAGUCCAUGCCGUAAACGAUGAUUACUAAGUGUUGGAGGGUUUCCGCCCUUCAGUGCUGCAGCUAACGCAUUAAGUAAUCCGCCUGGGGAGUACGACCGCAAGGUUGAAACUCAAAAGAAUUGACGGGGGCCCGCACAAGCGGUGGAGCAUGUGGUUUAAUUCGAAGCUACGCGAAGAACCUUACCAGGUCUUGACAUCUUCUGACAGUCUAAGAGAUUAGAGGUUCCCUUCGGGGACAGAAUGACAGGUGGUGCAUGGUUGUCGUCAGCUCGUGUCGUGAGAUGUUGGGUUAAGUCCCGCAACGAGCGCAACCCUUAUUACUAGUUGCCAGCAUUAAGUUGGGCACUCUAGUGAGACUGCCGGUGACAAACCGGAGGAAGGUGGGGACGACGUCAAAUCAUCAUGCCCCUUAUGACCUGGGCUACACACGUGCUACAAUGGAUGGUACAACGAGUCGCGAGACCGCGAGGUUAAGCUAAUCUCUUAAAACCAUUCUCAGUUCGGACUGUAGGCUGCAACUCGCCUACACGAAGUCGGAAUCGCUAGUAAUCGCGGAUCAGCAUGCCGCGGUGAAUACGUUCCCGGGCCUUGUACACACCGCCCGUCACACCAUGAGAGUUUGUAACACCCAAAGCCGGUGGGGUAACCUUUUAGGAGCUAGCCGUCUAAGGUGACCAGAGUUUGGG
Molecule: ribosomal RNA, 1300 nt
Filed under: Pediococcus pentosaceus
Lineage: Bacteria; Bacillati; Bacillota; Bacilli; Lactobacillales; Lactobacillaceae
Description: bacterial SSU rRNA
Rfam family: Bacterial small subunit ribosomal RNA
Source: RNAcentral